Molecule: ribosomal RNA, 468 nt
Filed under: uncultured bacterium
Lineage: Bacteria
Description: partial 16S ribosomal RNA
Rfam family: Bacterial small subunit ribosomal RNA
Source: RNAcentral
GACGAACGCUGGCGGCGUGCUUAACACAUGCAAGUCGAACGGAAAUGCCCUGCUUUUGUGGGGUGCUCGAGUGGCGAACGGGUUAGUAACACGUGAGUAACCUGCCCUUGACUUUGGGAUAACUUCAGGAAACUGGGGCUAAUACCGGAUAGGAGCUCCUGCUGCAUGGUGGUGGUUGGCACGUUUCGGCGGUUUGGGAUGGACUGGCGGCUAAUCAGUUUGUUGGUGGGGUAGUGGCUUACCAAGGCUUUGACGGGUAGCCGGCCUGAGAAGUUGAACGGCAACAAUGCUACUGAGGGAGGGCGCAGAAUCCUACGGGAGGCAGUAGGGGGGAAUAUGGCGCAAUGGGCGGAAGCCUGAUGCAGCAACGCCGCGAGCGGGAUGACGGGCUGCGGGAGAAGAAACGCUGUCGGCUGAGACGAAGAGUGAGUGACGGUAAUGGGUAAGGAAGCAACGGCUAACUACGUG